UAUCUCAAAAACUCAAGCAUUUAGAGCAAAUAAGACAAGAAGUUAAAAGUAUUUAUUAGGUCAAGGUCUACCUGUCCUGAAAUUUUCAGCCGAAUCGGGUAACUGGUUUUUCAGGUAUAAUGCCCCUGAAUUGAUGAUUUUAAAGACAUUUUGCAGUGUUUGGUUAUUAUCUUGAAUAUUAGUAUAGGUACAGAUUAACUGUUUAUAGCAA
This 211-nucleotide long non-coding RNA is filed under the name Mytilus galloprovincialis (Mediterranean mussel). The record is from RNAcentral. Lineage: Eukaryota; Metazoa; Mollusca; Bivalvia; Mytilida; Mytilidae.